Molecule: ribosomal RNA, 430 nt
Filed under: Pseudomonadota bacterium
Lineage: Bacteria; Pseudomonadati; Pseudomonadota
Description: Proteobacteria bacterium partial 16S ribosomal RNA
Rfam family: Bacterial small subunit ribosomal RNA
Source: RNAcentral
UGGGGAAUAUUGGACAAUGGGGGGAACCCUGAUCCAGCCAUGCCGCGUGUGUGAAGAAGGCCUUAUGGUUGUAAAGCACUUUAAGCGAGGAGGAGGGUACUGGUAUUAAUACUACCAGCUACUGGACGUUACUCGCAGAAUAAGCACCGGCUAACUCCGUGCCAGCAGCCGCGGUAAUACAGAGGGUGCGAGCGUUAAUCGGAUUUACUGGGCGUAAAGCGUGCGUAGGCGGCUAAUUGAGUCGGAUGUGAAAUCCCCGAGCUUAACUUGGGAAUUGCAUUCGAUACUGGUUAGCUAGAGUGUGGGAGAGGAUGGUAGAAUUCCAGGUGUAGCGGUGAAAUGCGUAGAGAUCUGGAGGAAUACCGAUGGCGAAGGCAGCCAUCUGGCCUAACACUGACGCUGAGGUACGAAAGCAUGGGGAGCAAACAGG